Molecule: microRNA precursor, 75 nt
Filed under: Mesitornis unicolor (brown roatelo)
Lineage: Eukaryota; Metazoa; Chordata; Aves; Mesitornithiformes; Mesitornithidae
Description: mir-460 microRNA precursor family
Rfam family: mir-460 microRNA precursor family
Source: Rfam by way of RNAcentral
CUCUGCGGUGUCCUCAUUGUACAUGCUGUGUGUAUCUGUCACGUACACAGCGCAUGCAAUGUGGACAUCGUGGAG